Molecule: long non-coding RNA, 744 nt
Filed under: Sus scrofa (pig)
Lineage: Eukaryota; Metazoa; Chordata; Mammalia; Artiodactyla; Suidae
Description: lncRNA (ENSSSCG00030021764.1)
Source: RNAcentral
UUCUUUCUUCCUUCUUUUCUUUUCUUUCUUCCUUUUUCUUUCUUUCUUUUCUUUCCCUCCCUUCCUUCCUCUCUCUCUUUCUUUUCUUUUUUCUUUCUUUCUUUUCUUUCUUUCUUCCUUUCUUUCUCUCUUUCUUUCUGUCUGUCUGUCUUUCUCUCCCUCUCCCCCCUCCCCUUUCUUUCUUUCAGGAAGAAAUCUUUGCAGGCAGUGUCACACAGAGAGAAGGCUUGGUGUACAGCAGCUGUGUGGGUGCCCUCGUGUGAACCCCGCCCCAGGGGUUCCUGCUGCCCGCACAGCUGGAGAGCUGCACCACCCUCAGAGGUCCUGGGUCCAAGCCCGCAGGCUGCCGCCGGCUGGAGAAGCAAGGGCAGUGCCCUGAAAGCUGCAGUCAGGGGUCUUCUCAGGACACGGCUGGAAGGAAGGCGAGAACCCCUGGAUCUGAAUAGUCCGGAGCAGGCAUCAAGAUCCACUGUCAACAUUGCAAGGCUUGGAGCAGAUGGAGGGUCAUAUACCACAGGCCAAACUAUUUACAAGAGUUAAACUAAAAACUGGAAGUAACAGAAGUUCUCCCCUUCUAUUUGACCAUUAUUUUUUCAAAAGUGCUUGGAGUUAGGUUAUAAGAAAACAUGGAUAUGACCUUAGAUCCAGCAAUGGUUUCUUAACGGCGACACCAAAGGCAGGAAGAAAGGCACAAAUAGAUACAUUUUACAUCACCAUAAAAAUGAAAUGCAGAGUUCCCUUCAU